Molecule: ribosomal RNA, 172 nt
Filed under: uncultured bacterium
Lineage: Bacteria
Description: partial 16S ribosomal RNA
Rfam family: Bacterial small subunit ribosomal RNA
Source: RNAcentral
AAUUGCUAGUAAUGGCAGGUCAGAAUACUGCCGUGAAUACGUUCCCGGGCCUUGUACACACCGCCCGUCACACCAUGAGAGUUGGGAAUACCCGAAGCCUGUGAGGCUAACCGCAAGGGAGCAGCAGUCGAAGGUAGAAUCAAUGAUUGGGGUGAAGUCGUAACAAGGUACC